Molecule: small RNA, 680 nt
Filed under: Pan troglodytes (chimpanzee)
Lineage: Eukaryota; Metazoa; Chordata; Mammalia; Primates; Hominidae
Description: processed transcript
Source: RNAcentral
AUCUAUCUUGCUGUGUUUGGACAGGCCAGCCCCUGAAACAUCUUGGGCAAUGGAGGGUUAACUUCUCAAAGUUUAAUAGGCAAGACCAGCAACCACGCAACAAGGUCAGGGAAUGCACUGGGGCUGACGACAAGGCUGGAACGUCCCGGGAUUGAAGCUUGGAUCCGAACUGUUGGACAGCGUCUGGAGUUUUGCACAAAAGAGAAUUGAAUUGUAGAUCAGCUGGGAAGUUACUGUGGUAGUCCUGGUGCCCUGCGGCCUCCAGCGACUGGAACCCUGUGGGAGCACAUAGCUGGCAUUUUUUGCUAGAGAUUAGGAAGUCUUUUGCUUCCUCUGUGAAAAGGCUUGAAUUCAAUGGACUGUGUGGACUUCAACUAACCAACUAAAGAACUGUUCCCCAGAGCAUUGUUCCUGAGAAGGAAAAGAGUCCAAACACCCACCCACACCUGCUUUGUGCCAAGAAUCCACAGUUGGAUUGCAAGGACAGUGCGUUCAAGACCCAGCUGUUGAGAGUAGAAAAGCAGAAGAAAGGACCCGAGGUCAGCAAGUGCCCUCCCUACAAUGGGGCAGGUCUGCCAGGGAGAAUCGGCUACAGCAGCUGAAAAACCAAAACUUCAUCUACUUACUGAAAGUGAGCAUUGUUGAUGCUCUUGAGAGCAUCAGCCAGGACAUUCAUGUGC